AGCGAACGCUGGCGGCAGGCCUAACACAUGCAAGUCGAGCGGGCACCUCGGGAUGUCUGGGGCAGACGGGUGUGAAGCGCGGGGGAACGCACCUAUGGGUGGGGAACCACUCCGGGAGAGGGGAGCUAAUAGGGGAAAGGCCUCGGAGGAGAGAGUUUUACUGCUGGAGGAUGGGCGCGCGGCUGAUGCUAGAGUUGGUGGGGUAAGCGCCUACCAAGGAGACGAUCUGUAGCGGGUCUGAGAGGAUGAUCAGCCACACUGGGACUGAGACACGGCCCAGACUCCUACGGGAGGCAGCAGUGGGGAAUAUUGGACAAUGGGCGCAAGCCUGAUCCAGCCAUGCCGCGUGAGUGAUGAAGGCCUUAGGGUUGUAAAGCUCUUUUGUCCGGGACGAUAAUGACGGUACCGGAAGAAUAAGCCCCGGCUAACUUCGUG
This 435-nucleotide ribosomal RNA is filed under the name uncultured bacterium. RNAcentral describes it as "partial 16S ribosomal RNA". It matches the Rfam family "Bacterial small subunit ribosomal RNA", at positions 30 to 507 of the family's 1533-position model. The record is from RNAcentral.